Molecule: ribosomal RNA, 483 nt
Filed under: uncultured bacterium
Lineage: Bacteria
Description: partial 16S ribosomal RNA
Rfam family: Bacterial small subunit ribosomal RNA
Source: RNAcentral
GACGAACGCUGGCGGCGUGCUUUACACAUGCAAGUCGAACGGUGAAGGUGGAGCUUGCUCCGCCGGAUCAGUGGCGAACGGGUGAGUAACACGUGGGCAACCUGCCCCUAACUUUGGGAUAACUACUCGAAAGAGUAGCUAAUACCGGAUAUGAAGUCUGUAGGCAUCUAUGGAUUUGGAAAGUUUUUCGGUUAGGGAUGGGCCCGCGGCCUAUCAGCUUGUUGGUGAGGUAGUGGCUCACCAAGGCGACGACGGGUAGCCGGCCUGAGAGGGCGACAGGCCAAACUGGGACUGAGACACGGCCCAGACUCCUACGGGAGGCAGCAGUGGGGAAUAUUGCGCAAUGGGCGAAAGCCUGACGCAGCAACGCCGCGUGCGGGAUGAGGGCCUUCGGGUUGUAAACCGCUUUCAGCAGGGAAGAAGCGAAAGUGACGGUACCUGCAGAAGAAGCACCGGCUAACUACGUGCCAGCAGCCGCCGUAA